This 465-nucleotide ribosomal RNA is filed under the name uncultured bacterium. Its description in RNAcentral is "partial 16S ribosomal RNA". It matches the Rfam family "Bacterial small subunit ribosomal RNA", at positions 29 to 507 of the family's 1533-position model. The record is from RNAcentral.
AUGAACGCUGGCGGCGUGCUUAACACAUGCAGGUCGAACGAUGAAGCCCAGCUUGCUGGGUGGAUUAGUGGCGAACGGGUGAGUAACACGUGAGUAACCUGCCCUUAACUCUGGGAUAAGCCUGGGAAACUGGGUCUAAUACCGGAUAGGAGCGUCCACCGCAUGGUGGGUGUUGGAAAGAUUUAUCGGUUUUGGAUGGACUCGCGGCCUAUCAGCUUGUUGGUGAGGUAAUGGCUCACCAAGGCGACGACGGGUAGCCGGCCUGAGAGGGUGACCGGCCACACUGGGACUGAGACACGGCCCAGACUCCUACGGGAGGCAGCAGUGGGGAAUAUUGCACAAUGGGCGCAAGCCUGAUGCAGCGACGCCGCGUGAGGGAUGACGGCCUUCGGGUUGUAAACCUCUUUCAGUAGGGAAGAAGCGAAAGUGACGGUACCUGCAGAAGAAGCACCGGCUAACUACGUG